Choloepus didactylus (southern two-toed sloth) is the source of this 425-nucleotide long non-coding RNA. RefSeq lists it as uncharacterized. The transcript is spliced from 2 exons. Lineage: Eukaryota; Metazoa; Chordata; Mammalia; Pilosa; Megalonychidae. The record is from RefSeq and is a predicted model, not a curated record.
GCCCGCCGCCCCGCCCCGGGUUCCUGCCACCCGUGCCGCCGCCGCAAAGUCUUUCUGCUGCUCAAGUUCCUGGCCGACGCCCAGAGAUGCCUAGUUGCAGAAGGGAGUUCCGUUCGCCCGGCUGCUGGACUCGCUGUGAAUCGACUCUGUCAGCGCCCUCCGCCUCCCCUCGCGCUGAGGGUGGCAGUCGGCCUCGGCCCCGCCCCCGCGUCCUGGGGCCUCGAGCUCCCCACUUGUGUGAAAUAUACAAAAUAUCACUGGGAAGACACAAAUGAAAGUGAUACAUCAGUUGACUCCUAGGAGGGGAAUUAUGAGACUGGGGAACAGAAGAGAAAAGAUUGUAAAAGAUUCAACAUGGAACUCUGUAUCUUUUGAACUUUGAAUCAAGUUAAAGUAUCUUUUAAAUAAAUACAUACAUAAAAUAA